This is a long non-coding RNA of Onychostoma macrolepis, 435 nucleotides long. RefSeq lists it as uncharacterized. The transcript has 3 exons. Lineage: Eukaryota; Metazoa; Chordata; Actinopteri; Cypriniformes; Cyprinidae. The record is from RefSeq and is a predicted model, not a curated record.
AUGGCCAGAUGUGCCGACCUUCCUUCAUACCGCCUCCUCAGACACACCCUGCAGUCCUGCGGCAUGAGGGGGAUGUUCAUGGAGCGGAAUAAAAUGUGGCCAGACCUUACAGUGAACUCUGGACAUGCUCUUCUGAAGAAACAGAGGAAGAAUCAAACAAAAAUUGGCAGACCCCCUACUGUACCGUCGUCGACCCCCUGUUGAAGACCUCUUAACUAAAGGAAUCAUGCAAAUCAGGUUGGAGUGCACCAGACUUCCAAUUUGGCAUUGUUUUACUGUAUGUACACUGCUUUGUCUCAGAUUGGCUCUUUGAAAUGGCUGUUGCUUUUUGUAAUACUUUUUGAUUUAAUAUCUGUACUUUUUGCGCUAUUUAUAUCAAAACGUUGAUAUAAUCAUACCAUAAAGUAUUUAUCUGCUAAAAAUAAAUAUAAAUAA